CCUACGGGGGGCUGCAGUGAGGAAUAUUGGUCAAUGGACGAGAGUCUGAACCAGCCAAGUAGCGUGAAGGAUGACUGCCCUAUGGGUUGUAAACUUCUUUUAUAUGGGAAUAAAAUGUUCCACGUGUGGGAUUUUGUAUGUACCAUAUGAAUAAGGAUCGGCUAACUCCGUGCCAGCAGCCGCGGUAAUACGGAGGAUCCGAGCGUUAUCCGGAUUUAUUGGGUUUAAAGGGAGCGUAGGUGGAUUGUUAAGUCAGUUGUGAAAGUUUGCGGCUCAACCGUAAAAUUGCAGUUGAAACUGGCAGUCUUGAGUAAAGUAGAGGUGGGCGGAAUUCGUGGUGUAGCGGUGAAAUGCUUAGAUAUCACGAAGAACUCCGAUUGCGAAGGCAGUUCACUGGACUGCAACUGACACGGAGGCUCGAAAGUGUGGGUAUCAAACAGGAUUAGAUACCCUUGUAGUC
RNAcentral lists this ribosomal RNA (460 nucleotides) under uncultured bacterium. RNAcentral's name for it is "partial 16S ribosomal RNA". It matches the Rfam family "Bacterial small subunit ribosomal RNA", at positions 338 to 795 of the family's 1533-position model. The record is from RNAcentral.